AAAUUUUUACUCUACCUCCACGCUGUUUCUAUUUUCCUGAGAAUCACAAACACAGCCAAAAACAAAUCAAAAAUAACAAGAAAAUAAAAAUUUUAUUUAUAGAAACAGUCUUGGGAAUUCCUCGCAAGUGAGCUUGUUUAAAGUCUCUAGCUUGACUCCUCACACUUAUUAAGAAGAAAAUGGGUGAUAGAGAGGAUCUGCAUAGUCCUCUCUAAUCUCAUCAUCAUAUUCAGCAUCCUCUCUUGAGAGAUGCGUAGCAGAAUACUUAAUU
Molecule: small RNA, 271 nt
Filed under: Arabidopsis thaliana (thale cress)
Lineage: Eukaryota; Viridiplantae; Streptophyta; Magnoliopsida; Brassicales; Brassicaceae
Description: ATSL089190
Source: RNAcentral